RNAcentral lists this transfer RNA (68 nucleotides) under Epiplatys grahami. RNAcentral's name for it is "tRNA-Asp". It matches the Rfam family "tRNA". From Rfam's summary of the family: Transfer RNA (tRNA) molecules are approximately 80 nucleotides in length. Their secondary structure includes four short double-helical elements and three loops (D, anti-codon, and T loops). The record is from RNAcentral. Lineage: Eukaryota; Metazoa; Chordata; Actinopteri; Cyprinodontiformes; Nothobranchiidae.
AAGACACUAGUAAAAUAUUACACUACAUUGUCAAUGUAAAGUUGCGAGUUAAACUCUCGCGUGUCUUA